AACGACCGGUCGGACACGCACGCCCAUGGCAGCGGAUCCGGCCCACAAGUGGAGGCUUCGAACUCCCACCUGGCCGUCCUCCGGACGGCGGGUCACCGGUCAGGCGGUUCCGUCCCACGGCGGUGACCAGCCCGAAAUCGCGCCCCGCGGUCAUAGCGGCGGUGCUCCGGUAGCAGUUCGAGGAGCCCCGCCUGUGAUCGUCCGGGGCAUUUUUU
This 215-nucleotide non-coding RNA is filed under the name Streptomyces coelicolor A3(2). RNAcentral describes it as "Streptomyces RNA 1601". It matches the Rfam family "Streptomyces RNA 1601". From Rfam's summary of the family: Identified by deep sequencing of transcriptome at the end of exponential growth phase. Appears longer on northern blot than sequencing transcript. Streptomyces specific. Lineage: Bacteria; Bacillati; Actinomycetota; Actinomycetes; Kitasatosporales; Streptomycetaceae. The record is from Rfam by way of RNAcentral.